CAGCCGCCUCGGUAAUACGUAGGGUGCGAGCGUUAAUCGGAAUUACUGGGCGUAAAGCGUGCGCAGGCGGUUCGUUAAGACAGAUGUGAAAUCCCCGGGCUUAACCUGGGAACUGCAUUUGUGACUGGCGAGCUAGAGUAUGGCAGAGGGGGGUAGAAUUCCACGUGUAGCAGUGAAAUGCGUAGAGAUGUGGAGGAAUACCGAUGGCGAAGGCAGCCCCCUGGGCCAAUACUGACGCUCAUGCACGAAAGCGUGGGGAGCAAACAGGAUUAGAUACCCCCGUAGUCCCUGUCUCUUAUAC
RNAcentral lists this ribosomal RNA (301 nucleotides) under uncultured bacterium. RNAcentral describes it as "partial 16S ribosomal RNA". It matches the Rfam family "Bacterial small subunit ribosomal RNA", at positions 509 to 807 of the family's 1533-position model. The record is from RNAcentral.